UGAAUGCGGUAUAUAACAUUAGAAAUGUUACGUGUGUUAGCAGGGUUUACAUAAACCAUAUACAUCUUAAAGACGAUUAAAUGAAUUUAAUAUGAAACAGGAAAAUGUUCUGAGAGAAUUGCAGAUGAGCAAAUCAACAAGAACAGACAUCUGAGUGAGAGAUGUGUGUGUGCUAUUCUGUAGAGUUCACUGUCUACAUCUGAGGAACGUGUGUUGGAUAAAAAGCGAGUGAACACAACAUGUAAAUGUAGUAUAUCACAGAUAAAUCACAGAGGAGACUGACUCUUGUCUGGAUCUUACAGGAACACAUGAGACACAGGUGUGUUUAUCUGCUGCAGAGACACUGAUGAAGAAAUCACUGCCAUCACAGACUCUCAAUCUUUUGUGGUGGAGCAGGUGAAGAAAGAAAAACCGGAAACCAAAAUAUAAAGAUCUGAAACGUCUGCAGACUGCUGUGUGCACUGAGGAUGAAGAAGACCACAGCAGCAUCCUGGAAAUGAUCAUGUGUCAUGAAUGAAACGCUCCAUCACUGCAUCUGACCUUGUUUUCUCAUCAGGAACAGAUGCUGCUGUGGUGUCUUCAUCUUCAGUGACCCCAGAGCAGUGAGAGCAAAUAGAGAAAGACCAAAAGACAUUGAGGAUGU
Molecule: long non-coding RNA, 643 nt
Organism: Cyprinus carpio (common carp)
Lineage: Eukaryota; Metazoa; Chordata; Actinopteri; Cypriniformes; Cyprinidae
Exons: 3
Source: RefSeq, a predicted model, not a curated record